AUGCUUUAACGUCUUUGAUAUUGUUAACUUUGGAAACACCAUAUAGUUAUUUAAGGGACAGAGACUAGCAGUAUUCCCAAGGAGAUGACACUGAGAAAUCUAUCAACAGGGGAGUGAGCACCAGGAUGGAGUGCUGUCUCCUCUCAGCUCUUGUGUGAUAUAAGCAGUGCAUGAAGUCCUUACUACGAUUGACCUCACAAAUACACAGGGAUUUGUUGGAUUAGCCAGCUCACUGACAGCAGUGAUGGCUCUAAGGAAACAGAACGCAGGAGAGGGUCUUCUUCACUAACCUCUUCACUAGCAAGACAGUCAUUUACAAUGAAAAUUGGGUGAAUACUAAUUUGCCUUUGGUGUCCUUGUUGGAGCAUCGGAGGACUGUAUGGGUCAUGACAAGAGAAAGUGAGCUGGAGUCAGAGGGAAGCUGCAGUGACUGAGUGAUCUGGUGAUCUGGCAAGGCGAGGUUUUGGAUGGAUCAUGUGCCAGGCACCUACUAUAUGCACCUCCACGUCCCUGCUCCACCCUUCUCUCUGCUCUGCACCCUGAAGGGUAACCCACAUGCCCCUAUUGAUGCGGCUUUUUACAGAGGCAGCACGAGAAGAGUGAGGUUGGGCUGCUGAUUCCUCUGGCUCCAUCCAGGGACCUUGGUUUGACUGCAUCCCUCUGUCAAGGCCACAAUUUUCUCUAGGUAGCUCUCAUACUGUUGUAACAUAAUGGGAUCCCUCAUUAUCCCUAACAGAUUUCCCCACCCCCUUCCAUGCCAUCUAUCUAUCUGUCUAUCUAUCUAUCUAUCUAUCUAUCUCUGUUAUCUAUCAUCUAUGUAAUUUGUCCACAUAUUAUUUAGUUAUCAUUUAUCUUUCAUUGAUCUGUGCAUAAUCUGUCUAUCAACUAUGUAUCUCCCAUUUUGCUCAGACCCUUUAAAAUAGCUUCUUCCCUAAAUUCUCUCAAUUACUCCAUUUGCGUUUAACAUCUAUAACAUCUGACUGACAGUCAUUGGUACCAGAAAUGGCCCCAGAAUACAAACCCUCUAAAAAGACUUCUGACGUUGGGUUGUUCCUGUAGUGGACAAGUAUACAAAUAACUUUGCAGGGAAUGAAACCCUGGUAAGCUGUUCCACACGGUAGCAUCAGUUUCUCGAAUUGUCCUCAGUGGUGGCAUGAGAGGAAGUGCAGGUGGAGGGACAAGGGAUGGGAUCAAAGGGCAAUAGUCCCUGUUGCUUUGACAGCAACAGUGAGAUAAGCAUUGUGAGGUCAGCUGGCUGUUUCCAGUGACACUAGACAUGGUAUACAGAGAAAAGAAGAAAUUGGAGGUUGUGAGGAUUGUUAUUAUUGAUUAGUUUUAUUUGUGUUUUACUCAGAGCACACUCAGACAGUGAGAAAGCCUGGCAGCUUAGUGGGACCUCCUCACUUCCUACAGUCAUGGGGCAGAUAUGGCUGAGCUCUGCCUGAUGUAUGGGCUGCAGGGCUGCAGUUUUGAUUAAGGCAUGGCUGCAUGGCUCUCACUCUCAGAUUGCUAAUUGAUUCUAAGUUGAGCAAGAAAAUUACUCAGAAGGCAGUAUUUGCAAUAGGGAAAAUGCCAGUCAUCAAAAAAUUCUUCAUGUCAAUGAGUGGACCUGGUCUCAGGAGACACAAAUGGCAUUAAAGAGCGGUCCCUACUCUUAAGGAACUUGUAAAGAAGUGAAGAAUACAUUUAUGUGCAAAUUCUAAAACCAGGUUCUUACUCCAAAUAUUCAAGCCAUGGGGCUCCACGUUCUAGGAUAAGUGAGGUUUGGAAAACGCUGGUUAAGAAAGGUAUUUAACUGGGGAUCUCUUAUCAGGCAAGUAUGCUAACAACCCAAGAAGCUUCUAGGCUUACUUCACAAUGGAACCCUUUUGUUCAGAAUGUAUUUUGAGACGUGUUCCUCCAGAUGCAAUCUGGGACAGGAGCUGAGGAAGAAAAGCACUCCCCAUGGUGCUGGGAGGCCUCAUUUUCAGACCUGUUUAUGACUCCAAGAAGCUCAGUGACACGAGCGAGAGGCUUUGAGUUCUGUGUCCUCAGUUUCUAGGCUCUGCGAAACAGAUAAAGGAGGCUCACCAUGAAGCCGGGGAAGAACGGGAGAAGCUGAGAAGCCGUGGGACUCCUCUAUCCUGCUUCUUUCUAAAUGUUCCCAGCCCCAAGCCAGCGCCACAGCAGACAUCUCCUUCCAGACCCAAGCCAACCGAGCAGAAAUGCCUGACCUCACGCUCUUCUCUCGCAAAUGUCCCACCUCUUCUUCAGAGGAGAAAUAGAAGAAUAAGCAGACUGUGAGAUGCAAACAAAGAACUAAUGUAAACCAAAGCAACGCUGUGAAUAAAAACGCAAACGCAAGAUUCGCUCCAGGAAUUUCAUGACAGACGGGUAGACAUACCACGGGAUGGUCGACGGCUGGAAACAGGGGUUUUAUUUUCUGACCACCACAUCCAGAUUCGAGCAUCCCCGUGGGGCACUUCAGUAAUCCAUACGGGCUUUAACGAGCGCCAACACGUGUAUAAUAAAUGGUAGCUCUUUGACAUUCAAUUUCAACUCAGCUUUUAAAAUGGCAUUAAUGGCAACUGAUGCAAUUUCUUUCUCACCUUAGUUUUUUUGUAUUUCAUUUUUAAGUUUUACCACUGAAAAACGAAGCAUUUGUAGAUCAUAGAAUCUAGGAGUUUACAUGAAAUUUGAAAGCUUUUUAUGGGCAACAUUUACUUAAAUAUUUUGCCCAUUACUCAUAAUCUAUUCUUUGUUCAUAUAAUUAGAUUAUUUAAUAAAAUGAGUUUAUUCAAUGUUUCUCCCCACAGUUUAGAGUAUGUCAGAACCCUUAUAUCUGGUCAUAUGCUGCUUUUUUUUCUUUUAAAAUGGUAUUUAUAAAUUAUUUUGUUACUUUUAACAAAGCUGAAAUGAAUGAAUUGCAUCAGUUUUUGCAUAUAUAUGCAUAUCAAUACAUAUAGUUAGAGGAUUAUUUAUCAUAUGCGUGGAACGCAUUUAGCAUAAGUUUGUGAGGUGCAUUCACGACCUGGAAUGUGUAAACAGAAUGUAAAAAGAUUCUGGGUUUAUAUGCCACAAUAAUUUGACUUUUUCACAAAUUAGUAGCAGAUUUGAUUAGAUGUUAACUAAAUGCAGGCAGUUGACAAAUGGUUUUUGGGAAGGUGACUUUAUUUGUGUUCCCUUAUGAUAACCUUUCCUUUCCUCGGCAAACUGUAGAAUCGGGGGUGGGGGC
Long non-coding RNA from Callithrix jacchus (white-tufted-ear marmoset), 3214 nucleotides. RefSeq lists it as uncharacterized. The record is from RefSeq and is a predicted model, not a curated record. NCBI's taxonomy places the organism in Eukaryota, Metazoa, Chordata, Mammalia, Primates, Cebidae.